GGAAUAUUGGGCAAUGGGCGAAAGCCUGACCCAGCGACGCCGCGUGAGGGAAGACGGUCUUCGGAUUGUAAACCUCUUUCAGCAGGGAAGAAGCAAGUGACGGUACCUGCAGAAGAAGUCACGGCUAACUACGUGCCAGCAGCCGCGGUAAUACGUAGGUGGCGAGCGUUAUCCGGAAUUACUGGGUGUAAAGGGUGUGUAGGCGGGGAAGCAAGUCAGACGUGAAAAUCAAAGGCUCAACCUUUGACUUGCGUUUGAAACUGUUUUUCUUGAGAGUGGGAGAGGUAAACGGAAUUCCUGGUGUAGUAGUGAAAUGCGUAGAUAUCAGGAGGAACACCGGUGGCGAAGGCGGUUUACUGGACCACAACUGACGCUGAGACACGAAAGCGUGGGGAGCAAACA
This 402-nucleotide ribosomal RNA is filed under the name uncultured bacterium. RNAcentral describes it as "bacterial SSU rRNA". It matches the Rfam family "Bacterial small subunit ribosomal RNA", at positions 358 to 774 of the family's 1533-position model. The record is from RNAcentral.